This 440-nucleotide ribosomal RNA is filed under the name uncultured bacterium. RNAcentral's name for it is "partial 16S ribosomal RNA". It matches the Rfam family "Bacterial small subunit ribosomal RNA", at positions 338 to 795 of the family's 1533-position model. The record is from RNAcentral.
CCUACGGGUGGCAGCAGUGGGGGAUAUUGCACAAUGGGGGAAACCCUGAUGCAGCGACGCCGCGUGAGUGAAGAAGUAUUUCGGUAUGUAAAGCUCUAUCAGCAGGGAAGAAAAUGACAGUACCUGACCAAGAAGCCCCGGCUAACUACGGGCCAGCAGCCGCGGUAAUACGCAGGGGGCAAGCGUUAUCCGGAUGUACGGGGUGUAAAGGGAGCGCAGACGGUUAUGUAAGUCUGAAGUGAAAGCCGGGGGCCCAAGCCCGGAACUGCUUUUGAAACUGGGUGGCUGGAGUACAGGAGAGGCGGGCAGAAUUCCAGGUGUAGCGGUGAAAUGCGUAGAGAUCAGGAGGAACACCGGCGGCGAAGGCGGCCUGCUGGACUGAGACUGACGUUGAGGCGCGAAAGCGUGGGGAGCAAACAGGAUUAGAUACCCUUGUAGUC